This 254-nucleotide ribosomal RNA is filed under the name uncultured bacterium. RNAcentral describes it as "partial 16S ribosomal RNA". It matches the Rfam family "Bacterial small subunit ribosomal RNA", at positions 526 to 779 of the family's 1533-position model. The record is from RNAcentral.
CGAAGGGUGCAAGCGUUGCUCGGAAUUAUUGGGCGUAAAGGGUGGGUAGGUGGUCUUGUUUGUCUAAGGUGAAAUCCCCGGGCUUAACCUGGGAACUGCCUUGGAAACGGCAAGACUGGAGUGCUAGAGAGGGUCGUGGAAUUCCUGGUGUAGCGGUAAAAUGCGUAGAUAUCAGGAGGAACACCAGAGGCGAAGGCGGCGGCCUGGCUAGCAACUGACACUAAACCACGAAAGCGUGGGGAGCAAACAGGAUU